Molecule: ribosomal RNA, 305 nt
Filed under: uncultured bacterium
Lineage: Bacteria
Description: bacterial SSU rRNA
Rfam family: Bacterial small subunit ribosomal RNA
Source: RNAcentral
UCUACGGGGCGCAGCAGUGAGGAAUAUUGGUCAAUGGCCGGAAGGCUGAACCAGCCAAGCCGCGUGAAGGACGAAGGUGCCAAGCAUUGUAAACUUCUUUUGUCAAGGGACAAAAUCAGGCUCGAGAGCCUGACCGAGGGUACUUGAAGAAAAAGCAUCGGCUAACUCCGUGCCAGCAGCCGCGGUAAUACGGAGGAUGCGAGCGUUAUCCGGAUUUACUGGGUGUAAAGGGCGUGCAGCCGGGAAGACAAGUCAGAUGUGAAAUCCCGCGGCUCAACCGCGGAACUGCAUUUGAAACUGUUUUU